GGGUGCGAUCAUACCAGCGUUAAUGCAGUUGAUCCCCUCAGAACUCCGCAGUUAAGCGCGCUUGGGCUAGAGUAGUGCUGGGAUGGGUGACUUCCCGCGAAAUCCUAGUGUUGCACCUU
Non-coding RNA from Picea glauca (white spruce), 119 nucleotides. Lineage: Eukaryota; Viridiplantae; Streptophyta; Pinopsida; Pinales; Pinaceae. The record is from Rfam.